This 503-nucleotide ribosomal RNA is filed under the name uncultured bacterium. RNAcentral describes it as "partial 16S ribosomal RNA". It matches the Rfam family "Bacterial small subunit ribosomal RNA", at positions 30 to 523 of the family's 1533-position model. The record is from RNAcentral.
AUUGAACGCUGGCGGCAGGCUUAACACAUGCAAGUCGAGCGGGGUGAUGGUGCUUGCACUAUCACUUAGCGGCGGACGGGUGAGUAAUGCUUAGGAAUCUGCCUAUUAGUGGGGGACAACAUCUCGAAAGGGAUGCUAAUACCGCAUACGUCCUACGGGAGAAAGCAGGGGAUCACUUGUGACCUUGCGCUAAUAGAUGAGCCUAAGUCGGAUUAGCUAGUUGGUGGGGUAAAGGCGUACUAAGGCGACGAUCUGUAGCGGGUCUGAGAGGAUGAUCCGCCACACUGGGACUGGGAAACGGCCCAGACUCCUAGGGGAGGCAGCAGUGGGGAAUAUUGGACAAUGGGGGGAACCCUGAUCCAGCCAUGCCGCGUGUGUGAAGAAGGCCUUAUGGUUGUAAAGCACUUUAAGCGAGGAGGAGGCUCUUUUGGUUAAUACCCAAGAUGAGUGGACGUUACUCGCAGAAUAAGCACCGGCUAACUCUGUGCCAGCCGCCGCAGUAA